RNAcentral lists this ribosomal RNA (497 nucleotides) under uncultured bacterium. Its description in RNAcentral is "bacterial SSU rRNA". It matches the Rfam family "Bacterial small subunit ribosomal RNA", at positions 24 to 518 of the family's 1533-position model. The record is from RNAcentral.
UCAGGAUGAACGCUAGCUACAGGCUUAACACAUGCAAGUCGAGGGGUAGCAGGGUAGCAAUACCGCUGACGACCGGCGCACGGGUGAGUAACACGUAUCCAACCUUCCCAUAACUCAGGGAUAGCCUUUCGAAAGAAAGAUUAAUACCUGAUAGUACUUUUUCAAGGCAUCUUGAGAAAGUUAAAGAUUUAUUGGUUAUGGAUGGGGAUGCGUUCCAUUAGAUAGUUGGUGAGGUAACGGCUCACCAAGUCUUCGAUGGAUAGGGGUUCUGAGAGGAAGGUCCCCCACAUUGGUACUGAGACACGGACCAAACUCCUACGGGAGGCAGCAGUGAGGAAUAUUGGUCAAUGGGCGAGAGCCUGAACCAGCCAAGUAGCGUGAAGGAUGAAGGUCCUAUGGAUUGUAAACUUCUUUUAUAGUAGAAUAAAGUGAUCCACGUGUGGAUUUUUGUAUGUAUACUAUGAAUAAGGAUCGGCUAACUCCGUGCCAGCAGCCGC